This 581-nucleotide long non-coding RNA is filed under the name Musa acuminata (dwarf banana). RNAcentral describes it as "long non-coding RNA (MACU_LNC000760)". Lineage: Eukaryota; Viridiplantae; Streptophyta; Magnoliopsida; Zingiberales; Musaceae. The record is from RNAcentral.
GCUUUGGAUGCCCUUCAACAACAGUGGAGAAGAAGAUGCUGGAAGUAUUUUUCUGGUCAAAGGUGAAGCCUUUUAGUGGCUCAAACACUGACAUAGAUCUUAUGCUGCAUUGAACUGAGCAGUCCUAUCCACCUAUGCCCCUCUUAUUGCAGAAAAUUUUAGUUGCUCCAUGGUGGAAGCAACAAGGCAUUGGACCACAGAAACCAUAUCCUUCUCUUGACCUUCUCCCCUUCUCCUCGAGGAUUACUGAUCAACUCUUCAGCGAAUUCAAGUCGGUCAUAUAAUGUUUCUGCAACCUCGAGCCUCGACAGAUCCAAUAAUUGAAGUAGAGUCAAGAAAGGAGAAGAGUGCACGCAAAAGGAACUGCAUGUUGAAAAGAGAAGCUUAGAAGACUGCUCGAGAAACAUUUGUUUCCCUAUUAAUCUCUCUCCCAGUCUCUCUCUCUCUCUCUCUCUUCUUGAGCCUCUAAAUAUGGAAUGGGGAUGUAGACCACAUGGAUAAAUGAAGCACGAGCUACACCAUUUGAUUGAGAACAAUUCUACAUACUUGAAGCAGCUCCCUUGUUGCUUCAUGAUGACAAG